UGAUCCAUUUUGAGUUAAUUUUUAUAUUUGGUACAAAGUUUGGAUAACAGGUUUUGUUUUGUGUUUUGUUUUGUUUUGUUUGGCACGCAGAUAUCCAAUUGUCCCGGCACCCACUUGUUGAAAAGACUCUUGUUCCUCCACUGAAUUAUCUUGGAACAUUUGUCAAAAAUCAAUCGACUGUUUACAUGUGGGCCUAUUUCUGGACUCUCUUCUGUUUUGCUAUUUGCCCGUCUCGAGGGUGAUGCCACACUGCCCUGGUUCCUGUAGCUUUAUGGCACUGUGCCGGGAGCUAGGAAUACGGCUGUGAACCAGACAAAGUCCUGCCUGCAUGGAGCUUACAGUGUGAUGGACGGCUCUGGCGACAGGGACCAACAAAGAAAUGCAAAAGAUCAGGGGGCCCAAGUGCUCUGAUGGAAACCACAGUGGGGAAACUUCCAUGCAGGUAGUCUGGGGUGAUGAAAUGUCACAGAAGAGAGAUGCCCAGCAAGGCCGGAGCAGAGGCCCAUGGCACGGCCAGACACCGGGGUAGGCGUUGAAUGAGCCCCAGCUGACCAGGCAAACCCACGAAAACACUAACACGGAGAGUGCUUUCUGUAGUAGUGACUGUCAAGAGAUUUUAGUCCACUUAAUCCUCACGACAGAUCGUAUGAGGUCGGUGCUGUCACUGUAUCCAUCUUACAGCUCAGGAAACUGAGGCAGACGCAGGCAGAAACCAGGAGGGCUGAGACUGGAACCCUGGCAGUAUUUCUCCAGAAUCUCCCAUUUAACCACUGAGCUACACACCCAGCCAGCAUAAAGCCAGCUAAUGAUAGACAGGGUCCUACCUGGCUUACGAAGGCAGUUGGCAUUUACAAGUGCACGGGUGGCCUAGCGGAGGCAAGAACGGGCUUUGGAAUUAGGCCUGGAUUCCACUCCCCGCACUGACACCAAUGAACCCUGAGGCUGACCCUCCCCGGAGUCUGCAUUUCGUUCACUGGGAAGUGGAAGGAACACCUGCCUUAGCAGUGGGUGUGAGAAAUGUUGGGUGAGAAGGUUCUGGCAUAGGGCAGAUUUUCAUUAAACGAUUACUUUUACUACUUUGACAGAUGAGCUGGGGAGGUGGCCUGCUCCAAACUGAGACUUGAGAAGAAUCUCUCUUAAAAGAGAGGCCCAAUCUUCCUCGGCUAUGGGGGCACAGAGGAGGGGUGACAGGUAGCUGAAGGGAUCUGGUGGCUUCAGAGGACACAGCACGAGCAAGUGGUUGGGACUCUGGCUUCAGAGCUCAGCAGACUCGAGUUCAAGUUCCGGUAUCCAGCACGUGCUCACUGGGUCUCCUUGGGGAGUCGCUUAGCUUCUUGGAGUCUGUGAAAUGAGGACGCUGAGAGUACCUUCCUCGUAGGGGUGAGAAGAAUAGGUGGAAUCAUUCAGGGAAAGGAGUGCUGGGCACACCGGCUGGCACAUAGUGUCUAUGGAGGACUCCACGUGGCAAGGAAGUGAUGCCUCUGGCCGAGGGCUAGCAAGGACCUGAAGCCUGCCAAAAUCCACGUGAGUACGUUUAAAAGCAGAUCCGCCACUGGAGCCUCGAGGUGACCAAAGCCCUAGUCGAUGCCUUGACUCUAGCCCUAUGAGAGUCUUUGAGCCAAAGACACCCUCUGAGGGGCAUUAGGCUUCCUGACCCCCAGAGACCGUGUUUGUGGUUUUUAGCUGUGUAACUUGUUACGCAGCUAUGGGUAACUAAUACACCAUCAGAUGAGUCUGCUGGAUGAUGAGUGACACGUGGCCUGCUCACUUCCUUUCACCCAGCCAGACAACCGCUGGAUGUGAGAGUGAGGCCAUCCCAGACCAACUAGCCCUUAGUCAACCUGUCAGCUGCUUGCAGACGUGGGGUUGGGCCAACCCAGGAUCAGCUGUGCCUGGCCCAGAGCAGCAGAAGUCCUGCCUGAACUUGGACCCGGCCGCAAUGAUAUACAUUGUUGUCUUAAGCUACUAAGCCUUGGGAUGAUUUUGUACCCAGCAGUAGCUGACUGAUACAGCCUGUGUAGCCGGAGCUGUGUGCACACAGUAGGAAAUGGGGCUGGGAAGCUGUGCAGGGGCCUAAUGUGGAGGGCUUUGCUGCCAGGUUAAGGCAUCUGGAGUCUAAUUUGCGGGCAGUCGGGGCAGGUUUUGAGCAGGAGAAGAAGGUCAUGAUCAGAGCUGUGGUUGAAGACAUUUCUUGUGGCAGGGGCAUGAAUUGGAGGCAGCGGGAUCAUUUAGGGGGCUGCUGUGUCAUGAGGCCGAUGGGCAGUGACGGAGGCUUGAAAUUAGGAAACGGUGAGGAAUGGGAGAGAACAGUGGAGGUGGAAUCAGUGAAAACCGUUCUGGACUGGGUUGGGGGCCUGGCAUUGGGAGAGUGGAAGUCGACACCCAGGUUUUGUUCCUGGGAGCCUGAAUGGUCGGUGGUGCUGUUGACAAAGACGGGGAGAUCAGC
This is a long non-coding RNA of Neofelis nebulosa (Clouded leopard), 2446 nucleotides long. RefSeq lists it as uncharacterized. Lineage: Eukaryota; Metazoa; Chordata; Mammalia; Carnivora; Felidae. The transcript has 4 exons. The record is from RefSeq and is a predicted model, not a curated record.